UCAACAUGAGAGUUUGAUCCUGGCUCAGAACGAACGCUGGCGGCAGGCUUAACACAUGCA
Molecule: ribosomal RNA, 60 nt
Filed under: Rhizobium leguminosarum
Lineage: Bacteria; Pseudomonadati; Pseudomonadota; Alphaproteobacteria; Hyphomicrobiales; Rhizobiaceae
Description: partial 16S ribosomal RNA
Source: RNAcentral